AACGACUCUCGGCAACGGAUAUCUCGGCUCUCGCGAUCGAUGAAGAACGUACGAAAUGCGAUACUUGGUGUGAAUUGCAGAAUCCCGUGAACCAUCGAGUCUUUGAACGCAAGUUGCGCCCGAAGCCAUUAGGCCAAGGGCACGUCUGCCUGGGCGUCACGC
This 162-nucleotide ribosomal RNA is filed under the name Eleutherococcus senticosus. RNAcentral's name for it is "5.8S ribosomal RNA". It matches the Rfam family "5.8S ribosomal RNA". From Rfam's summary of the family: 5.8S ribosomal RNA (5.8S rRNA) is a component of the large subunit of the eukaryotic ribosome. It is transcribed by RNA polymerase I as part of the 45S precursor that also contains 18S and 28S rRNA. Lineage: Eukaryota; Viridiplantae; Streptophyta; Magnoliopsida; Apiales; Araliaceae. The record is from RNAcentral.